CCACCACAGAGACAAUCUUCCAUUGGGUUCCCUCUCCAUGAAAGGAUGGGCAAACAACCCAAAACAAAACUAAAAAACAACUAUUUGGGUGGGAAGAAACCCCUGCCCGAAUGGAGCAAGGGACAGCCACUAACGGUAGAGAAAGGAGCUGGUCUCCUAGAUGAAAAGAAAGGAAAAAUGAGAGAACUUUCUCUCUCUACAACNNNNNNNNNNNAGAGAGAGAGUUAAUUAACUCAUAGGUUUCUUAGACCAUUGACAAACACCGAAUCAAAUCUCUCCAUCUC
Molecule: unclassified non-coding RNA, 284 nt
Filed under: Hevea brasiliensis (rubber tree)
Lineage: Eukaryota; Viridiplantae; Streptophyta; Magnoliopsida; Malpighiales; Euphorbiaceae
Source: RNAcentral